AGGUGCCGGCGGCUGGCGGCCGCGGAGUCUUCGGCGAGACUUACCGGGCCCUGUCUGUGCCGGCCGUGAGCUGCGGCAGGACGGCUGGAGUAAAUCUUGGUGCCAAUAAUGGAACGAACACUGGACACAGGACUGGGGAAGACUGGAUUUCAGCUUAGGAGAAGAGUAUUGGAACAGUUGUGCUGCUACCAGCGAUGCGUGGGAGCUGUGUACAGAUUCAGCCGACAACUAUGAGCCUUGGAGAUCAUCUUAAGUAUCUUGUGUUGUUAAUAGGCCAGCGGUGGAACCUCGUUUAGUUGAUGUUUCUCUGAGGUUGGGUUUUGUCCUUAUGUUCGUUGGUUGGUUGCAUCUCCUCUCUUGUGAACUGUAAGCUUAUACCUUCUCAAUUUUUUUUUGAAGCUCUUGGUGUUUUCUGGAUUGAUUUUUGUGAGCUGUUUAUAUAAUAAAGUUAUUUGUAUUUUGACAUUUUGAAUAUAUUUGCAGACUUCCUGUUUGGCUUUUAAAUUUCUUAUCUUUUAUUUAUUAACUUAUAGAAG
This 536-nucleotide small RNA is filed under the name Pan troglodytes (chimpanzee). RNAcentral's name for it is "processed transcript". The record is from RNAcentral. Lineage: Eukaryota; Metazoa; Chordata; Mammalia; Primates; Hominidae.